GAUGAACGCUGGCGGCGUGCCUAAUACAUGCAAGUCGAGCGAACAGACGAGGAGCUUGCUCCUCUGACGUUAGCGGCGGACGGGUGAGUAACACGUGGAUAACCUACCUAUAAGACUGGGAUAACUUCGGGAAACCGGAGCUAAUACCGGAUAAUAUAUUGAACCGCAUGGUUCAAUAGUGAAAGACGGUUUUGCUGUCACUUAUAGAUGGAUCUGCGCCGCAUUAGCUAGUUGGUAAGGUAACGGCUUACCAAGGCAACGAUGCGUAGCCGACCUGAGAGGGUGAUCGGCCACACUGGAACUGAGACACGGUCCAGACGCCUACGGGAGGCAGCAGUAGGGAAUCUUCCGCAAUGGGCGAAAACUUGACGGAGCAACGCCGCGUGAGUGAUGAAGGUCUUCGGAUCGUAAAACUCUGUUAUUAGGGAAGAACAAAUGUGUAAGUAACUAUGCACGUCUUGACGGUACCUAAUCAGAAAGCCACGGCUAACUACGUG
RNAcentral lists this ribosomal RNA (497 nucleotides) under uncultured bacterium. RNAcentral's name for it is "partial 16S ribosomal RNA". It matches the Rfam family "Bacterial small subunit ribosomal RNA", at positions 28 to 507 of the family's 1533-position model. The record is from RNAcentral.